UCUCUCUCUCUCUCGAUGAUUCUUUCCGACUCUAGGGUUAGGGAUUCGCUCGCCUCUUUCUGUCUCUCGACUCCAUAAUCUUCCGUCGGGGUUCCGAUCUGGAGCUUCCUGGGAUCUCCCAGGUAUCGCACCGCGAGCUAGGGUUCCCUGGCUCGAAUUCUUUCCCGAGCAAGUGCCAUCGGGUGAUCCCCUAGGUGGAAUCAUCCGGGUGGUAGGCAGUCCUGUAGUUUCGAUCGCGAUCGAAUAUGAGCGAGCUGAUGAUUGGGAAACUACAGACGUCAAUUAUGCAUUGGGAAGAUAAUUCCAUGGGGAACCAUGAUGUUUAUAAUACCAUAUUGAUAUUUUUGUCCAUCACAUCAGAAUGUCGGUGCAAACUGUAGCGCAUAAUUUGGUCUUGUUGAUUCACCUGUGGUAUACAAGCAGGUCUAAGCGGGUUCGCUUCUGAGUUACAAAAUGAGGCGACCGGGACAGUAUGCGGAUCCUGGCAUUAAUCCUAUGGUGGCUGCUGAGAUGCAGCACUUAUCAGCUCACAGAUUGCAACAGAACUCGGGGAUGAAUCAUUUUCCAGGAAGGGCAGAUUCUUUGCGGACUGAGGAAGAACAACAGUAUAUCUCUUCUAAAUCAGAGAGACAGUGGCAAUGGGAUAGAGAUGAGCCUAAGGGAUCAAAUCAACCCUCAUCUCAUAUGUACAAAGAAGGUCAAGGAAGUGAUGCUUCACGAUCUUUAUAUGAAGGUCAAAGGUCUGAUUCAAAAACAGGACUGGAAAAACAAGCCAUUAGAGACCUGAGAGCUCAAGCUCGUCAAGAAGAAAUGGAAACUGGAUAUGAGGAUAACACUCUUCCGCAGACAUUUGAAGGUCUAGAACAGAAAUUUCUUCAUGAUAUAAUGAAAUUAUCCAAGGAACAUCAGGAUGCAGAAGAUGCAGAAAACGCUAGGCACAGGGAAAGGCUGAGCGAGAUCAAUGCACAGUAUCAGGAGAAACUAUUGGCAGUCCGAGCUCGUCAAGCUACCCACCGAGAGGAGUUCCUUCGCAAGGAAUCACAAGCACGCCAUCAGCAAUACCAACAGGCUAAUAUGAACAGCUAUCAGAACAGUGCUGGACCCAGUGAGGCUUAUGGUUAUGGUUCAGCUGCCACAGCUGCCAGUGCUUAUGGAGAUGCACAUCGGGCCUAUGCUGCAAGUCAUUUGGACCCCUAUGGGGAGAGGUCUGAAUUUAUGGGAAGUGCUAGGGGUCAUGGUUUUGAACCUCGUGGUCAGUAUCCUGGUGGCCGUGCUUACAACAUGGGUGGUCGCCAUUUUUGAGGAAAAGUUGCAGGAAUUAGAGCUAUCUUUUGAGCCUUCGCUUUUAGUUCACUGAUUGCAUUUGUAUAGGAUCGCAUUCCAGCUGCAAAAUUGAGUGGCGGCGAAAGAUCCAUGUCAUCUGUCAGCACCAAUUGCCUUUGGACAUUGCAGUGACGCUUAAUGUGGAUAAGAAAGAAGCUUAUCAUAUCUGUUUUGGAACUGAUUCGAGGUGAUCUUUCCUUUUUUUUUUGGGAGCAAACUGAUGUAGAAUUGUUGAAAAUCUAGCUCCGAUUUUAUAAAGACCAAAGGAUUUUGGUUCCAGGCUCAACAGAAUACUAGAGUUUUAGUAGUUUUUGUUUGGACAUAGGAUCAACUUAUUGGACCUGGAGGUUGGUGUAUGGCCAACUGAACCCGGCGUCCUGGAUUAAUUGUCAGCAUUUUCUUAUACAGGUUUCGAGGCGUGCAUUGCAGAGUUCCACUUCCAUUCACAUUUACAACCGCUCAGUCUGAUUUUAUGCAAAUUUGUAUUUAACUA
This is an RNA transcript of Elaeis guineensis (African oil palm), 1816 nucleotides long. RefSeq lists it as uncharacterized. The record is from RefSeq and is a predicted model, not a curated record. NCBI's taxonomy places the organism in Eukaryota, Viridiplantae, Streptophyta, Magnoliopsida, Arecales, Arecaceae.